Molecule: ribosomal RNA, 523 nt
Filed under: Gambusia affinis (western mosquitofish)
Lineage: Eukaryota; Metazoa; Chordata; Actinopteri; Cyprinodontiformes; Poeciliidae
Description: partial small subunit ribosomal RNA
Rfam family: Bacterial small subunit ribosomal RNA
Source: RNAcentral
ACUAUCAGCUUUAGCAACACUUACACAUGCAAGUAUCCGCACCCCAGUGAAAAUGCCCCCCGCCUUCUUAAAGAAGACAAGGAGCUGGUAUCAGGCACGCACAGCAGCCCAUGACACCUUGCUAAGCCACACCCCCAAGGGAACUCAGCAGUGAUAAACAUUAAGCAAUAAGUGAAAACUUGACUUAGUAAAAGCUAAUAAGGGUCGGUUAAACUCGUGCCAGCCACCGCGGUUAUACGAGAGACCCAAGUUGAUAAAAUACGGCGUAAAGCGUGGUUAAAAGCCCCCACUAAACUAAGACUAAACCUUUCCAAAGCUGUUAUACGCACCCGGAAAUAUGAAACUCAACUACGAAAGUGGCCUUAAUUUCCCCUUGACCCCACGAAAGCUGCGAAACAAACUGGGAUUAGAUACCCCACUAUGCACAGCCAUAAACUUUGAUAGAAAACUACAAAUUCUAUCCGCCCGGGAACUACGAGCAUAAGCUUAAAACCCAAAGGACUUGGCGGUGCUUUAGACCCCU